CUACGGGUCGCUCCAGUAGGGAAUCUUAGACAAUGGGGGAAACCCUGAUCUAGCCAUGCCGCGUGAGUGAUGAAGGCCUUAGGGUUGUAAAGCUCUUUCGCUGGGGAGGAUAAUGACGGUACCCAGUAAAGAAACCCCGGCUAACUCCGUGCCAGCAGCCGCGGUAAUACGGAGGGGGUUAGCGUUGUUCGGAAUUACUGGGCGUAAAGCGCGCGUAGGCGGGCUAUUAAGUCAGGGGUGAAAUCCCGGGGCUCAACCCCGGAACUGCCUUUGAUACUGGUAGUCUUGAGUUCGAGAGAGGUGAGUGGAAUUCCGAGUGUAGAGGUGAAAUUCGUAGAUAUUCGGAGGAACAUCAGUGGCGAAGGCGACUCACUGGCUCGAUACUGACGCUGAGGUGCGAAAGUGUGGGGAGCAAACAGGAUUAGAUACCCUUGUAGUC
This 439-nucleotide ribosomal RNA is filed under the name uncultured bacterium. Its description in RNAcentral is "partial 16S ribosomal RNA". It matches the Rfam family "Bacterial small subunit ribosomal RNA", at positions 339 to 795 of the family's 1533-position model. The record is from RNAcentral.